AUAAUCAUUUGUCUUUUAAUUGAAGUCUGGAAUGAAUGGUUGGAUGAAAAAUUUACUUUCUUUAUUUUAUAUAAAAAAAUUACUUUUUAAGUUAAAAAUCUUAAAUAUUUUUAUAGGACGAGAAGACCCUAUAGAACUUUAUUAUUGGAAUAUAAUUUUUAUGUUGUUUAUAAUUAACUUUUAUAUUAAAAAUAAUUUGGUUGGGGUGACAAAAAAAAUUUAAUAACUUUUUUUAUUUAUUUCAUUUUUAUAUGACUUUGUUGAUCCUUUUUUAAGGAAAAAAGAUUAAGUUACCUUAGGGAUAACAGCGUUAUUGUUUUUGAGAGUUCUUAUUGAUAAAACAGUUUGCGACCUCGAUGUUGGAUUAAAAUAAGUUUCAGGAGUAUAAGAUUGAAUACUAGGUCUGUUCGACCUUUAAAUUUUUACAUGAUCUGAG
Molecule: ribosomal RNA, 436 nt
Filed under: Badezorus signaticornis
Lineage: Eukaryota; Metazoa; Arthropoda; Insecta; Hemiptera; Miridae
Description: partial 16S ribosomal RNA
Rfam family: Bacterial large subunit ribosomal RNA (bases 301-436)
Source: RNAcentral